GUUCCUGUGCCGGUAGGUAGGCUGGGAGAGAGGAACUUGUGGGAGGAGAAAAACAUCUAAAAUCUGUGAACUCAGAAGUAUCCUGAUGAAGAGCAUGGGCUCUGGAAUCACUCUGCCUUUGGCUUGAAUCCAGACCCUUCACAUGGAAUCACCUCAGCCAUGCUCAUUUGUGUAUGUAUCACCUAUGGCUGAUUUCACUCUGUAAUAUCAGAGUUUAGUUAUUGUGAAUGAGACUGACUGAGACCAUCUGUCCUACCAAGCCUAAGUUAUCUUUUAUUUGGACUUUUAUAGAAAAAGUUGCUGUACACUGUUCUAGAAUGGUAGUUCUAACUGGGUUGAUACUGCCUUCCGGUGGGGGAUGUGGAAAGCAUUUUUGGUUGACACUGUCUAGGGAGUGUUUCUAGAAUCUGGGGAACAGAGAUGGUAAACAUCUUUAAUAUACAACAAACUUAAAUAGUAAAGAGUUGUCUUCCUGAAAAGUCAGUAGCAUCCUUGGCGAGAAAUAUAUGCUCUAGAAUCUCCAAAAUAAUGUUGAAGCACCUGCACUUAAUUUGUGAUUUUAACUUAAAUGGUUUUAAUAUUUCACUGCUUAGAAUAUUAUUUGCUGAAGAGCAGAGAUUUUGAAGCCAUGUGCUGGAUUUAAAUCCCUUACAAGCUGUGUGGCCUUGGGCAAAGCAAAUGUUGUGCACUUCAGUGUCCUUAUCAAUAAAAUGGGAAUAAUGGUGCCUGCUUCACGGAGUUGCCUUGAGAAUGAAAUGACUAGGUACAUAUAAAACACACAAAAUAAUGCACAGUUCAUAGCAAACACUCAAUAAGGGAAAACUGUCGUUUUUAGUCUCAGGAUUAUUUUGGCAUAUUGGUUAAAGUUACCAACUGCAGAAAUCCUGACUGUGGUGGUUUAAACAAAUAGGGGUUUAUUUUUCUCACAUAAUAAGAAAUCUAGAGGUGAAUAACUGCUAGCAUGAAUUAAGUAGCUAGACAACAGCAUGGCUAAUAUCUCUGUGUUUUCUUAUCCUUUACCUCAUGUUUCCAAGAUGGUUAUUGUAGCUUCAGCAUCAUAUCCUUGUUUUGAGGCAGGAAAGAAGAGAAAGAGCUAUGCUGCACCUGACUCAUUUUAUCAGGGAAAUAAAACCUUGCCCAGAUUCCUCUCAGCAGACACUGGAGCCAUUUUUCUAGGUUUGAAUUCUGACACUGCCUUUUACUGGCUGUGUGAUAUUGGGCAAGUUUUUUAACCUCUCAGUGCCUUAGUUUUCUUAUUUGCAAAACAGGGGGUGCUAGGAGUAUACAUCUUAAUGCAUUAUUGUCAAUAGUAUGUGAGCUAUGAAUUCAUAAAAUUAUUUUAUGAGACUCUACUUAUAUAAGUGGGUUCCCUAGAGCUCCUACCUGAUGUUAUAUCUCAUGCCUCAUGUCUUUCACAUCAUUGUAUCUCAUAAAUUUUCUUUCUUAUAAACAUAUGGGUAAAAUUAAGUUGCUACAUAGGACAUGGUUUUAUUCAGUGUGCAGUUAUGCAUUUCUGUGAUCAUGCUGUCAUUGCCUCUUGUCUUUCAUGAGGGAGACAUUUCAUACCAGUUCACUCUGUUCAGGCCAGUACAGCCCAGGCUAUGUUUGUUUUUCUGUAACCCCUUUGCUGUAUUUUUUAAAUAUAGCCUAUGAUGAUGGCAUUUGAUCAUAUUACCGGCAUUUCUCCUGAAACACCAAUAAAACCCUUGAAAUAUAAAAAUAUAACUUUACAAGCCUCCUGAUUUAAUGUUAUCAUUAAACAUUUAUAUAUUACUUUAUAUUUACAAAGUGCUAUAUAAUUAUUUAGUAGUUAAUUGUACUGUUAAACCAUCUGGCUAAAUUAAUGAUUUCAAAUUGUCCUACCAGUUGGUAGCUGAGGAAUGAAAAGUGAAGUCAUACUGAAUUUUAUUCUCCUUAAACAAACCUUUCUGUCCUCCUCUGCACAAUAUAGUAUAGACUGGCUUCAAAUGGAGGUUCAAAUCAGAGGGGAAAAGGUAUCUUUGUUCUCUUCUUCCUUUUGUCCUAUAAAUGUAGGCUUCCUUCAGGAUUCAGGCCUAGACGAAAUUCUGUUCUCUCUUGGAAGGCCCCACAUCUAGUCCCACAUAUUCAACUGUUGACUCCACAUCUGUAAUUCAUCUGUCUUGCAAACAGUAAUUCAGUAUCUUAAAACAUCAUCAGACACAACUUAGAAUAGAUUUACAAGGAGAUCCUGCUGAAUAGCAUUGAGAACUUUGUCUAGAUACUCAUGUUGCAACAGAACAAAGGGUGGGAAAAAAAUGUAAUUGUAAUAUAUACAUGUAAGGAUAACUUGAUCCCCUUGCAGUACAGUAGGAAAAUAAAAAAUAAUAAUAAUAAAUUAAAAAAGAAUUAACUGAAAUAAAAUCCAUAAGAAGUUUAAAAAAAUAAAAAUAAAAAAAUAAAAUAACCUAAUAAUCUAGUAAGUAAAACAUUUCUCUGCAUUCUGAAAGCUGUACUAACAAAUUAAUGGAAUCCAAUGUCAGGGUGGGGGUCAAUGGAACCUUCAAUCUGUAGCCAGUUUUGUCAGAAGCAUAGGUGACAACCUGGAACUGCUGCUGGCAUCUGAAAUUGAGAGGCACAGGGUAAUCUUGGAAUGAACCCUUAACCUAUGGUUUCUGAGACUACCCUAGGUAGUCUCAGAAUUGUGUUGAACUAUGGACAACCAGUUAGUGUCAGAGAAUUACUUGGUGAUAUGGG
This 2715-nucleotide long non-coding RNA is filed under the name Sus scrofa (pig). RNAcentral describes it as "lncRNA (ENSSSCG00050077293.1)". The record is from RNAcentral. Lineage: Eukaryota; Metazoa; Chordata; Mammalia; Artiodactyla; Suidae.